Saimiri boliviensis boliviensis (Bolivian squirrel monkey) is the source of this 1312-nucleotide non-coding RNA. The record is from RefSeq and is a predicted model, not a curated record. NCBI's taxonomy places the organism in Eukaryota, Metazoa, Chordata, Mammalia, Primates, Cebidae.
AGGUGGCUGUUGAGAGCGGCGAUAAUCCAGAAUGGCUUCUCUGAUCUAUGUUGAUACGGAAAAUGGAGAAACAGGCACUCGUGUGGCUGCUAAGGAUGGGCUGAAGCUGGGGUCUGGACCUUCAGUCAAAGCCUUAAAUGGGAGAUCUCAAGUUGCAACACCACGUUUUGGCAAAACGUUUGAUGCUCCACCAGCCUUACCUAAAGCUACUAGAAAGGCUUUGGGAACUGUCAACAGAGCUACAGAAAAGGCAGUAAAGACCAGUGGACCCCUCAAUCAAAAACAACCAAGGUUUUCUGCCAAAAAGAUCACUGGGAAGACUGUUAAAGCAAAAAGCUCUAUUCUGCCUCAGAUGAUGCCUAUCCAGAAAUAGAAAAAUUAUUUCCCUUCAAUCUUCUAGACUUUGAGAGUUUUGACCUGCCUGAAGAGCACCAGAUUGCACACCUACCCUUGAGUUGAGUGCCUCUUAUGAUCCUUGAUGAGGAGAGAGAGCUUGAAAAGCUGUUUCAGCUGGGCCCCCUUCACCUGUGAAGAUGCCCUCUCCACCAUGGGAAUCCAAUCUGUUGCGGUCUUCUUCAAGCAUUCUGUUGACCCUGGAUAUUGAAUUGCCACCUAUUUGCUAUGACAUUGAUAUUUAAACUUCUUAGUGCUUUAGAGUUUGUAUUAAUAAAACAUUCUUUAACCGAAAAAAAAAAAAAAGAAGCUGGUAUCUUAGACAAGAGUUGGGAAUAGAGAUAAUCAGAAGUUAUUGAAUUUGAGGUAUCCUUUGAUGAAAAAAGUUGCAGGGGGAUAGGGAGGGUACCUAACAGAAUUUGUAGAUAGAUGAAUGUGAGUUGUGAAGGAAAGAGUGAGUGAUCAAGAAUGACUCUUAGAUUUUUCUCCAGCAUAAUUAGGUGCAUAGUGACUUCGGGAGGAAGUUUAGAUGGGAAAAAAUCAGUUUUUCGCUUGUAAUUGAAUUCGUUACCACAUCUCCUUUGUUGUGGGGGUUGUUCCACUGGAAAAAGGAAAAAGCUAUUUGUUUCUUUGAGUUAGGCACUAAGCCAAAAUCAUAAUUUAUGAUGAGAUGUGUUGAACAUUUUUGGAUUGUGGUCUUUACAUAGCAUAUUUAUACUCUGUAGAGGGUUCAUGCUGUGGUUUACAAUUUAUGCAUGGGAUUAAGACAGAAUACCCAGUGAACUUACAAUAGGGCACAAAGGUAUUACAAAAUAACUACACAAGGUUAUAAAUGGAAAUCUCUUUUUAAUGUAAUACAUAUACUUUAAACUUUUAAAAAAAGCUUCUACUUCUAAGUUUCUGCUCAGUUUCAUGUCUU